This 477-nucleotide ribosomal RNA is filed under the name uncultured fungus. RNAcentral's name for it is "eukaryotic LSU rRNA". The stretch from base 106 to 258 matches the Rfam family "5.8S ribosomal RNA". The record is from RNAcentral. Lineage: Eukaryota; Fungi.
UCCGUAGGUGAACCUGCGGAAGGAUCAAUACAGAGUGUGGGGGAGAGAUAGGUUGAAAAAGGAAUGAGACAUCUUUCGACAACAUACAACUACAAACAUUUACACAACUCAUAACAAUGGAUCUCUGGGCUCUUGCAUCGAUGAAGAACGCAGCCAAACGCGAAAUGUGUUAUGACAUGCAAUCUUUGAGAAUCAUGAAAUCUUUGAACGCACCUUGUACCCGAGACAACCGUCUUGGGUGUGUUUGUUUGAGCAACGCAACGACCUCGUCGCUUUACGGAGUGGAUGGAUAUGAGAGCGAGCAAGGAGAUUCCUUGCACUCUUCAAAUGGAUAGGGUUAGGGUGAGGUGUGGGCUAGGGAGCAUGUCUUGGGAUAAUUCCAACUGGACACGCACACUAGCACCUGAACACCUUGCCUCCCUCCAUUAACUAGUUAAACACGUUCUCAAAUCAAACAGGAUAACCCGCUGAACUUAA